AUUUCCGAAUGGGGAAACCCACUUCAUUUGAAGUAUCCCGUACUGAAUACAUAGGUACGGNGAAGCGAACCCGGNGAACUGAAACAUCUAAGUAGCCGGAGGAANAGAAAUCAACCGAGAUUCCGANAGUAGCGGCGAGCGAAAUUGGACCAGCCAGAGAGUUUUAGCAAAANAGUUAACAGAAUAAUUUGGAAANAUUAGCCAUAGUGGGUGAUAGCCCCGUANGUAAAAACUGAUUUGUGGAACUAGGCUUUCGACAAGUAGGNCGGGACACGUGAAAUCCUGUUUGAAUAUGGGGGGACCAUCCUCCAAGGCUAAAUACUAGUAAUCGACCGAUAGUGAACCAGUACCGUGAGGGAAAGGCGAAAAGAACCCCGGAAGGGGAGUGAAAUAGAUCCUGAAACGAUAUGCAUACAAACAGUCGGAGCUCGUAAGAGUGACGGCGUACCUUUUGUAUAAUGGGUCAGCGACUUACAUUCAGUAGCAAGCUUAACUAAUUAAGGGAGGCGUAGGGAAACCGAGUCUUAACAGGGCGUUUAGUUGCUGGGUGUAGACCCGAAACCGGAUGAGCUAUCCAUGGCCAGGGUGAAGGUACGGUAACACGUACUGGAGGCCCGAACCCACUAAUGUUACAAAAUUAGGGGAUGAGCUGUGGAUAGGGGUGAAAGGCCAAACAAAUCCGGAGAUAGCUGGUUCUCCUCGAAAACUAUUUAGGUAGUGCCUCGUAUUUUGCUCCAGGGGGUAGAGCACUGUAAUGGUUGUUGGGGUCAUCGCGACUUACUUCGCCAUAGCAAACUCCGAAUACCUGGAAGUAUAAGUACGGGAGACAGAGCACUGGGUGCUAACGUCCAGACUCAAGAGGGAAACAACCCAGACCGCCAGCUAAGGUCCCAAAUAUUAGCUAAGUGGGAAACGAAGUGGGAAGGCACAGACAGUCAGGAGGUUGGCUUAGAAGCAGCCAUCCUUUAAAGAAAGCGUAAUAGCUCACUGAUCAAGUCGUCCUGCGCGGAAGAUGUAACGGGGCUAAGCUAAUAACCGAAGCUGCGGAUCUCGUAAGAGAUGGUAGAGGAGCGUUCUGUAAGCCUGUGAAGGUGACUUGAAAAGGUUGCUGGAGGUAUCAGAAGUGCGAAUGCUGACAUGAGUAGCGUUAAACAGAGUGAAAAACUCUGUCGCCGAAAACGCAAGGUUUCCUACGCAACGUUAAUCGACGUAGGGUGAGUCGGCCCCUUAGGUGAGGGCGAAAGCCGUAACCGAUGGGAAGCAGGUUAAUAUUCCUGCACCGCUGUUUAAUGCGAUGGGGAGACGGAGAAGGUUAGCUCAGCCGGGUGUUGGAUGUCCCGGUUUAAGCAUGUAGCCAUACCCAGUUGGCAAAUCCGCUGGGCUUAGGUGAGGUGUGAUGACGAGCAGGCUUGCCUGCAGAGUGAGUAAUACCAUGCUUCCAGGAAAAUCCUCUAAGCUUCAGUUAAACAGGACCGUACCGCAAACCGACACUGGUGCGUAUGCUGAAUAUGCUCAGGCGCUUGAGAGAACUCAGGAGAAGGAACUCGGCAAAUUGAUACCGUAACUUCGGGAGAAGGUAUGCCUCAAUUAGGUGAAGGAGUACAUCCGGAGCCGAAAGAGGUCUCAGAGAAUCGGUGGCUGCGACUGUUUAUCAAAAACACAGCACUCUGCAAACACGAAAGUGGACGUAUAGGGUGUGACGCCUGCCCGGUGCCGGAAGGUUAAGUGAUGGGGUGCAAGCUCUUGAUCGAAGCCCCGGUAAACGGCGGCCGUAACUAUAACGGUCCUAAGGUAGCGAAAUUCCUUGUCGGGUAAGUUCCGACCU
Molecule: ribosomal RNA, 1825 nt
Filed under: metagenome
Description: bacterial LSU rRNA
Rfam family: Bacterial large subunit ribosomal RNA
Source: RNAcentral